AUUGAACGCUGGCGGCAGGCUUAACACAUGCAAGUCGAGCGGGGAAGGGUAGCUUGCUACAUGACCUAGCGGCGGACGGGUGAGUAAUGCUUAGGAAUCUGCCUAUUAGUGGGGGACAACAUUCCGAAAGGAAUGCUAAUACCGCAUACGCCCUACGGGGGAAAGCAGGGGAUCUUCGGACCUUGCGCUAAUAGAUGAGCCUAGGUCAGAUUAGCUAGUUGGUGGGGUAAAGGCCUACCAAGGCGACGAUCUGUAGCGGGUCUGAGAGGAUGAUCCGCCACACUGGGACUGAGACACGGCCCAGACUCCUACGGGAGGCAGCAGUGGGGAAUAUUGGACAAUGGGCGCAAGCCUGAUCCAGCCAUGCCGCGUGUGUGAAGAAGGCCUUUUGGUUGCAAAGCACUUUAAGCGAGGAGGAGGCUACUUGGAUUAAUACUCUAGGAUAGUGGACGUUACUCGCAGAAUAAGCACCGGCUAACUCUGUGCCAGCAGCCGCGGUAAUACAGAGGGUGCGAGCGUUAAUCGGAUUUACUGGGCGUAAAGCGUGCGUAGGCGGCUUUUUAAGUCGGAUGUGAAAUCCCUGAGCUUAACUUAGGAAUUGCAUUCGAUACUGGGAAGCUAGAGUAUGGGAGAGGAUGGUAGAAUUCCAGGUGUAGCGGUGAAAUGCGUAGAGAUCUGGAGGAAUACCGAUGGCGAAGGCAGCCAUCUGGCCUAAUACUGACGCUGAGGUACGAAAGCAUGGGGAGCAAACAGG
RNAcentral lists this ribosomal RNA (754 nucleotides) under uncultured Acinetobacter sp. Its description in RNAcentral is "bacterial SSU rRNA". It matches the Rfam family "Bacterial small subunit ribosomal RNA", at positions 28 to 776 of the family's 1533-position model. The record is from RNAcentral. Lineage: Bacteria; Pseudomonadati; Pseudomonadota; Gammaproteobacteria; Moraxellales; Moraxellaceae.